Molecule: ribosomal RNA, 449 nt
Filed under: uncultured bacterium
Lineage: Bacteria
Description: bacterial SSU rRNA
Rfam family: Bacterial small subunit ribosomal RNA
Source: RNAcentral
AGCGAACGCUGGCGGCAGGCUUAACACAUGCAAGUCGAGCGGGCGUAGCAAUACGUCAGCGGCAGACGGGUGAGUAACGCGUGGGAACGUACCUUUUGGUUCGGAACAACCCAGGGAAACUUGGGCUAAUACCGGAUAAGCCCUUACGGGGAAAGAUUUAUCGCCGAAAGAUCGGCCCGCGUCUGAUUAGCUAGUUGGUGGGGUAAUGGCCCACCAAGGCGACGAUCAGUAGCUGGUCUGAGAGGAUGAUCAGCCACAUUGGGACUGAGACACGGCCCAAACUCCUACGGGAGGCAGCAGUGGGGAAUAUUGGACAAUGGGCGCAAGCCUGAUCCAGCCAUGCCGCGUGAGUGAUGAAGGCCCUAGGGUUGUAAAGCUCUUUUGUGCGGGAAGAUAAUGACGGUACCGCAAGAAUAAGCCCCGGCUAACUUCGUGACAGCCGCCGCCGU